Molecule: long non-coding RNA, 456 nt
Filed under: Pan troglodytes (chimpanzee)
Lineage: Eukaryota; Metazoa; Chordata; Mammalia; Primates; Hominidae
Description: lincRNA
Source: RNAcentral
UUUCCUAUAUCUCCCUUCCUGGUCAGCAAUAUAGCCCAUUCUCUGGAGCUUCCCGUGGGGAUUUUUCUUCCCAGUGAAUUCUUCCUAUUAGUUAUCUAAGUGGUUUAACUGUUGAAAUGUUUUCCGUCAUCUUUAGAUCCUUUUGAAACCACUUUCUCUACCUGCUUCAGUUCCAUUUGAUGACCGCCAUCAUCUUUGAGAUUCCCAUCCAGAACCAUGCAUACCUCUUAGGUUCUCACAGCCAGGAACUAUUUCCUAAGUUGUCUUUCUGGUGGAAAGCUCAGCUCCUACUAAGCAGUCCUUGCUUCAAAAUGGCUUUGAUGAAUGACCCAAAGGAGCCAGGCCAGUCCCUGAGUCAUCACAGAGCACCCUAGGUGAGAAACCCUGAAGUGUUCUCUGCUGUUGCUCCACCCCUACCCUAUAUGAACAGAUUAAAUAGUUUCAUUUGGCACAGUU